AACGAACGCUGGCGGCUUGCCUAACACAUGCAAGUCGAACGAGAUCUUCGGAUCUAGUGGCGCACGGGUGCGUAACGCGUGGGAAUCUGCCCCUUGCUUCGGAAUAACAGUGAGAAAUUACUGCUAAUACCGGAUGAUGUCUUCGGACCAAAGAUUUAUCGGCAAGGGAUGAGCCCGCGUAGGAUUAGGUAGUUGGUGGGGUAAUGGCCUACCAAGCCGACGAUCCUUAGCUGGUCUGAGAGGAUGAUCAGCCACACUGGGACUGAGACACGGCCCAGACUCCUACGGGAGGCAGCAGUGGGGAAUAUUGGACAAUGGGCGAAAGCCUGAUCCAGCAAUGCCGCGUGAGUGAUGAAGGCCUUAGGGUUGUAAAGCUCUUUUACCAGGGAUGAUAAUGACAGUACCUGGAGAAUAAGCUCCGGCUAACUCCGUG
RNAcentral lists this ribosomal RNA (433 nucleotides) under uncultured bacterium. RNAcentral describes it as "partial 16S ribosomal RNA". It matches the Rfam family "Bacterial small subunit ribosomal RNA", at positions 29 to 507 of the family's 1533-position model. The record is from RNAcentral.